This 62-nucleotide small nuclear RNA is filed under the name Otolemur garnettii (small-eared galago). Its description in RNAcentral is "U7 small nuclear RNA". It matches the Rfam family "U7 small nuclear RNA". From Rfam's summary of the family: Animal histone pre-mRNAs are spliced by a different mechanism than nuclear pre-mRNAs and self-splicing introns. This processing involves the U7 snRNP, which contains only one RNA species: U7. Lineage: Eukaryota; Metazoa; Chordata; Mammalia; Primates; Galagidae. The record is from Rfam by way of RNAcentral.
UAGUGUUAUAGCUCUUGUAGAAUUUGUCUAGCAGUUCUUCCAGUUCUCACAGGACUGCCCCC